GAUGAACGCUGGCGGCGUGCCUAAUACACGCAAGUCGAGCGAACAGAUAAGGAGCUUGCUCCUUUGACGUUAGCGGCGGACGGGUGAGUAACACGUGGAUAACCUACCUAUAAGACUGGGAUAACUUCGGGAAACCGGAGCUAAUACCGGAUAACAUAUUGAACCGCAUGGUUCAAUAGUGAAAGGCGGCUUUGCUGUCACUUAUAGAUGGAUCCGCGCCGUAUUAGCUAGUUGGUAAGGUAACGGCUUACCAAGGCAACGAUACGUAGCCGACCUGAGAGGGUGAUCGGCCACACUGGAACUGAGACACGGUCCAGACUCCUACGGGAGGCAGCAGUAGGGAAUCUUCCGCAAUGGGCGAAAGCCUGACGGAGCAACGCCGCGUGAGUGAUGAAGGUCUUCGGAUCGUAAAACUCUGUUAUCAGGGAAGAACAAAUGUGUAAGUAACUGUGCACAUCUUGACGGUACCUGAUCAGAAAGCCACGGCUAACUACGU
RNAcentral lists this ribosomal RNA (496 nucleotides) under uncultured bacterium. Its description in RNAcentral is "partial 16S ribosomal RNA". It matches the Rfam family "Bacterial small subunit ribosomal RNA", at positions 28 to 506 of the family's 1533-position model. The record is from RNAcentral.